Molecule: ribosomal RNA, 553 nt
Filed under: uncultured bacterium
Lineage: Bacteria
Description: bacterial SSU rRNA
Rfam family: Bacterial small subunit ribosomal RNA
Source: RNAcentral
CAAGAGUUUGAUCCUGGCUCAGGAUGAACGCUGGCGGCGUGCCUAACACAUGCAAGUCGAACGGGGUUAUUUUGGAAAGUUCCUUCGGGGACUGGAAUCUUUAACCUAGUGGCGGACGGGUGAGUAACGCGUGAGCAAUCUGCCUUUAGGAGGGGGAUAACAGUCGGAAACGGCUGCUAAUACCGCAUAAUGCAUCAAUUUCGCAUGUUAUUGAUGCCAAAGGAGCAAUCCGCCUUUAGAUGAGCUCGCGUCUGAUUAGCUAGUUGGCGGGGUAACGGCCCACCAAGGCGACGAUCAGUAGCCGGACUGAGAGGUUGAACGGCCACAUUGGGACUGAGACACGGCCCAGACUCCUACGGGAGGCAGCAGUGGGGAAUAUUGCGCAAUGGGGGCAACCCUGACGCAGCAACGCCGCGUGAAUGAUGAAGGCCUUCGGGUUGUAAAAUUCUGUUAUAAGGGAAGAACGACUUUAGUAGGAAAUGGCUAGAGUGUGACGGUACCUUAUGAGAAAGCCACGGCUAACUACGUGCCAGCAGCCGCGGUAAGAUCUCGU